Molecule: long non-coding RNA, 271 nt
Filed under: Urocitellus parryii (Arctic ground squirrel)
Lineage: Eukaryota; Metazoa; Chordata; Mammalia; Rodentia; Sciuridae
Description: lncRNA (ENSUPAG00010015240.1)
Source: RNAcentral
CGCCGCCGCCGCCUGCCGGUCCCAACCAGGAGGAGAAAGGAGGGGACCGGAAGGAGCCGCUGGUGCUGCGGGAAGUGGCAGGAGCGGGAGGCGGGGACCCACCUGGAAGCGCCGCCGCGCCGCUGUCGAGCUUCCUGCGGCGGCAGCCAGUCAAGCAAGUGCCGUGGCGGGAGCAGAGAGCGGCCACGGUAGCGGCGCCUCCCGGAGUGGCCCGUCACGCCCGGCCCCGCGCGGAAGAUACCAAGUUGUGCUAGUACAACCAUAUAAAUAA